RNAcentral lists this ribosomal RNA (862 nucleotides) under Parachaetomium iranianum. RNAcentral describes it as "LSU rRNA". It matches the Rfam family "Eukaryotic large subunit ribosomal RNA", at positions 68 to 963 of the family's 3401-position model. Lineage: Eukaryota; Fungi; Ascomycota; Sordariomycetes; Sordariales; Chaetomiaceae. The record is from RNAcentral.
ACAGGGAUUGCCCUAGUAACGGCGAGUGAAGCGGCAACAGCUCAAAUUUGAAAUCUGGCCUCGGCCCGAGUUGUAAUUUGCAGAGGAAGCUUUAGGCGCGGCACCAACUGAGUCCCCUGGAACGGGGCGCCAUAGAGGGUGAGAGCCCCGUAUAGUUGGACGCCUAGCCUGUGUAAAGCUCCUUCGACGAGUCGAGUAGUUUGGGAAUGCUGCUCAAAAUGGGAGGUAAAUUUCUUCUAAAGCUAAAUACCGGCCAGAGACCGAUAGCGCACAAGUAGAGUGAUCGAAAGAUGAAAAGCACUUUGAAAAGAGGGUUAAAUAGCACGUGAAAUUGUUGAAAGGGAAGCGCUUGUGACCAGACUUGCGCCGGGCGGAUCAUCCGGUGUUCUCACCGGUGCACUCCGCCCGGCUCAGGCCAGCAUCGGUUCUCGCGGGGGGAUAAAGGCCUCGGGAACGUAGCUCCUCCGGGAGUGUUAUAGCCCGGGGCGCAAUGCCCUCGCGGGGACCGAGGUUCGCGCAUCUGCAAGGAUGCUGGCGUAAUGGUCAUCAGCGACCCGUCUUGAAACACGGACCAAGGAGUCAAGGUUUUGCGCGAGUGUUUGGGUGUCAAACCCGCACGCGUAAUGAAAGUGAACGUAGGUGAGAGCUUCGGCGCAUCAUCGACCGAUCCUGAUGUUUUCGGAUGGAUUUGAGUAGGAGCGUUAAGCCUUGGACCCGAAAGAUGGUGAACUAUGCUUGGAUAGGGUGAAGCCAGAGGAAACUCUGGUGGAGGCUCGCAGCGGUUCUGACGUGCAAAUCGAUCGUCAAAUCUGAGCAUGGGGGCGAAAGACUAAUCGAACCAUCUAGUAGCUGGUUACCGCCG